GGAACAACAGGGAUUGCCCCAGUAACGGCGAGUGAAGCGGCAACAGCUCAAAUUUGAAAUCUGGCCCCUCGGGCCCGAGUUGUAAUUUGUAGAGGAUGCUUUUGGUGCGGUGCCGCCCGAGUUCCCUGGAACGGGACGCCAUAGAGGGUGAGAGCCCCGUCUGGCUGGCCACCAAGCCUCUGUAAAGCUCCUUCGACGAGUCGAGUAGUUUGGGAAUGCUGCUCUAAAUGGGAGGUAUAUGUCUUCUAAAGCUAAAUAUUGGCCAGAGACCGAUAGCGCACAAGUAGAGUGAUCGAAAGAUGAAAAGCACUUUGAAAAGAGGGUUAAAUAGUACGUGAAAUUGUUGAAAGGGAAGCGCUCAUGACCAGACUUGGGCUUGGCGAAUCAUCCAGCGUUCUCGCUGGUGCACUUUGCCUCGCCCAGGCCAGCAUCAGUUCGUCGCGGGGGAAAAAGGCUUCGGGAACGUGGCUCCUCCGGGAGUGUUAUAGCCCGUUGCAUAAUACCCUGCUUUGGACUGAGGUUCGCGCAUCUGCAAGGAUGCUGGCGUAAUGGUCAUCAGCGACCCGUCUUGAAACACGGACCAAGGAGUCGUCUUCGUAUGCGAGUGUUCGGGUGUCAAACCCCUACGCGUAAUGAAAGUGAACGCAGGUGAGAGCUUCGGCGCAUCAUCGACCGAUCCUGAUGUUCUCGGAUGGAUUU
RNAcentral lists this ribosomal RNA (699 nucleotides) under Hypomyces iranicus. RNAcentral's name for it is "partial large subunit ribosomal RNA". It matches the Rfam family "Eukaryotic large subunit ribosomal RNA", at positions 56 to 791 of the family's 3401-position model. Lineage: Eukaryota; Fungi; Ascomycota; Sordariomycetes; Hypocreales; Hypocreaceae. The record is from RNAcentral.